UACGUAGGUGGCGAGCGUUGUCCGGAUUUACUGGGCGUAAAGAGCGCGCAGGCGGUCGAUCAAGUCGGAUGUGAAAGCCCCCGGCUCAACUGGGGAGGGUCAUUCGAUACUGAUCGACUCGAAGGCAGGAGAGGGAAGCGGAAUUCCCGGUGUAGUGGUGAGAUGCGUAGAUAUCGGGAGGAACACCAGUGGCGAAGGCGGCUUCCUGGCCUGUUCUUGACGCUGAGGCGCGAAAGCUAGGGGAGCAAACGGG
Molecule: ribosomal RNA, 253 nt
Filed under: uncultured bacterium
Lineage: Bacteria
Description: partial 16S ribosomal RNA
Rfam family: Bacterial small subunit ribosomal RNA
Source: RNAcentral